GACGAACGCUGGCGGCGUGCUUAACACAUGCAAGUCGAACGGAAAGGCCCUGCUUUUGUGGGGUGCUCGAGUGGCGAACGGGUGAGUAACACGUGAGUAACCUGCCCUUGACGUUGGGAUAACUUCAGGAAACUGGUGCUAAUACCGGAUAGGAGCUCCUGCUGCAUGGUGGGGGUUGGAAAGUUUCGGCGGUUGGGGAUGGACUCGCGGCUUAUCAGCUUGUUGGUGGGGUAGUGGCAUACCAAGGCUUUGACGGGUAGCCGGCCUGAGAGGGGGACCGGCCACAUUGGGACUGCGAUACGGCGCAGACUCCUACGGGAGGCAGCAGUGGGGAAUAUUGCACAAUGGGCGGAAGCCUGAUGCAGCAACGCCGCGUGCGGGAUGACGGCCUUCGGGUUGUAAACCGCUUUCGCCUGUGACGAAGCGUGAGUGACGGUAAUGGGUAAAGAAGCACCGGCUAACUACGUG
This 468-nucleotide ribosomal RNA is filed under the name uncultured bacterium. RNAcentral's name for it is "partial 16S ribosomal RNA". It matches the Rfam family "Bacterial small subunit ribosomal RNA", at positions 28 to 507 of the family's 1533-position model. The record is from RNAcentral.